AAAUUUUGUUCAUGUCUAUUCUGUUAUGAUUGGUCUUAUCAAAUUAUAUUUUUUAACAUGGUUAAUAUUUCUAGUUUUCUAUUAGAUUAUUAUUCGUUUCAUAUAAACUGCGGUGGAAGGACCAAUCGCCAUUGGGAAGUUCCGCUAUGAAGCAGAUGAAGGGUAUGGAGGUGAAGCACAAUAUGUUCCCUCGAAAGACAACUGGGCAUUUAGUACCAGUGGACAUUUUCGGGAUAAAAAUAACACAGCAGACAUGUACAUAGCAAAAAAUGUGUCCAUACUACGAAUGAGCAGCUCUGAAUUGUAC
Molecule: unclassified non-coding RNA, 307 nt
Filed under: Hevea brasiliensis (rubber tree)
Lineage: Eukaryota; Viridiplantae; Streptophyta; Magnoliopsida; Malpighiales; Euphorbiaceae
Source: RNAcentral